Ribosomal RNA from Metopolophium dirhodum (rose-grain aphid), 123 nucleotides. The record is from RefSeq and is a predicted model, not a curated record. Lineage: Eukaryota; Metazoa; Arthropoda; Insecta; Hemiptera; Aphididae.
GCCAACGACCAUACCACGUUGAAUACACCAGUUCUCGUCCGAUCACUGAAGUUAAGCAACGUCGGGCGUAGUUAGUUAGUACUUGGAUGGGUGACCGCUUGGGAACACUACGUGCCGUUGACU